Molecule: non-coding RNA, 331 nt
Organism: Paramuricea clavata
Lineage: Eukaryota; Metazoa; Cnidaria; Anthozoa; Malacalcyonacea; Plexauridae
Source: the annotation of a GenBank genome assembly
UGAUUGGACCAACGCGAUUAUUUUUCAGUAUUAUCUUUAAAGAAUUCGUCUGGAAAUUACCAAUGAAGAAUUAAGCAUGUUUAUAAAUAAUUAUAAGUUUUAACAAAAACAACGUCACGAGAUCAGCCAUGCAAGGUCAAAACACUCAAAAGGAAAACCCCACAAAUCUAGAAGUGUUGCUCGCGAACAGCCUAAAACCACAACGGAUAUUGAACUGAAAAAUUUGAGAACGAUCUCCAGUGAUCGCGGAAUUUUUGUUGCGCAAAAGGCGAAAUGGAAUUCGAUUCAAAUUUCGAAGUGAAUUUUAUGUUUGUGUUCACUUUAAAGCUAC